GACGAACGCUGGCGGCGUGCUUAACACAUGCAAGUCGAACGAAGAGCGAUGGAAGCUUGCUUCUAUCAAUCUUAGUGGCGAACGGGUGAGUAACGCGUAAUCAACCUGCCCUUCAGAGGGGGACAACAGUUGGAAACGACUGCUAAUACCGCAUACGAUCUGACCUCGGCAUCGAGGUUAGAUGAAAGGUGGCCUCUAUUUAUAAGCUAUCACUGAAGGAGGGGAUUGCGUCUGAUUAGCUAGUUGGAGGGGUAACGGCCCACCAAGGCGAUGAUCAGUAGCCGGUCUGAGAGGAUGAACGGCCACAUUGGGACUGAGACACGGCCCAGACUCCUACGGGAGGCAGCAGUGGGGAAUCUUCCGCAAUGGACGAAAGUCUGACGGAGCAACGCCGCGUGAGUGAUGACGGCCUUCGGGUUGUAAAGCUCUGUUAAUCGGGACGAAAGGCCUUCUUGCGAAUAGUUAGAAGGAUUGACGGUACCGGAAUAGAAAGCCACGGCUAACUACGUG
This 510-nucleotide ribosomal RNA is filed under the name uncultured bacterium. RNAcentral describes it as "partial 16S ribosomal RNA". It matches the Rfam family "Bacterial small subunit ribosomal RNA", at positions 28 to 507 of the family's 1533-position model. The record is from RNAcentral.